This 1456-nucleotide ribosomal RNA is filed under the name uncultured bacterium. RNAcentral's name for it is "bacterial SSU rRNA". It matches the Rfam family "Bacterial small subunit ribosomal RNA". The record is from RNAcentral.
UAGCUACAGGCUUAACACAUGCAAGUCGAGGGGCAUCAGGAAGAAAGCUUGCUUUCUUUGCUGGCGACCGGCGCACGGGUGAGUAACACGUAUCCAACCUGCCCUUUACUCGGGGAUAGCCUUUCGAAAGAAAGAUUAAUACCCGAUAGCAUAAUGAUUCCGCAUGGUUUCAUUAUUAAAGGAUUCCGGUAAAGGAUGGGGAUGCGUUCCAUUAGGUUGUUGGUGAGGUAACGGCCCACCAAGCCUUCGAUGGAUAGGGGUUCUGAGAGGAAGGUCCCCCACAUUGGAACUGAGACACGGUCCAAACUCCUACGGGAGGCAGCAGUGAGGAAUAUUGGUCAAUGGGCGCUAGCCUGAACCAGCCAAGUAGCGUGAAGGAUGAAGGCUCUAUGGGUCGUAAACUUCUUUUAUAUAAGAAUAAAGUGCAGUAUGUAUACUGUUUUGUAUGUAUUAUAUGAAUAAGGAUCGGCUAACUCCGUGCCAGCAGCCGCGGUAAUACGGAGGAUCCGAGCGUUAUCCGGAUUUAUUGGGUUUAAAGGGAGCGUAGGUGGACUGGUAAGUCAGUUGUGAAAGUUUGCGGCUCAACCGUAAAAUUGCAGUUGAUACUGUCAGUCUUGAGUACAGUAGAGGUGGGCGGAAUUCGUGGUGUAGCGGUGAAAUGCUUAGAUAUCACGAAGAACUCCGAUUGCGAAGGCAGCUCACUGGACUGCAACUGACACUGAUGCUCGAAAGUGUGGGUAUCAAACAGGAUUAGAUACCCUGGUAGUCCACACAGUAAACGAUGAAUACUCGCUGUUUGCGAUAUACAGUAAGCGGCCAAGCGAAAGCAUUAAGUAUUCCACCUGGGGAGUACGCCGGCAACGGUGAAACUCAAAGGAAUUGACGGGGGCCCGCACAAGCGGAGAAACAUGUGGUUUAAUUCGAUGAUACGCGAGGAACCUUACCCGGGCUUAAAUUGCAGUGGAAUGAUGUGGAAACAUGUCAGUGAGCAAUCACCGCUGUGAAGGUGCUGCAUGGUUGUCGUCAGCUCGUGCCGUGAGGUGUCGGCUUAAGUGCCAUAACGAGCGCAACCCUUAUCUUCAGUUACUAACAGGUCAUGCUGAGGACUCUGGAGAGACUGCCGUCGUAAGAUGUGAGGAAGGUGGGGAUGACGUCAAAUCAGCACGGCCCUUACGUCCGGGGCUACACACGUGUUACAAUGGGGGGUACAGAAGGCAGCUAGCGGGUGACCGUAUGCUAAUCCCAAAAUCCUCUCUCAGUUCGGAUCGAAGUCUGCAACCCGACUUCGUGAAGCUGGAUUCGCUAGUAAUCGCGCAUCAGCCACGGCGCGGUGAAUACGUUCCCGGGCCUUGUACACACCGCCCGUCAAGCCAUGGGAGCCGGGGGUACCUGAAGUACGUAACCGCAAGGAUCGUCCUAGGGUAAAACUGGUGACUGGGGCUAAGUCGUAACAAGG